Molecule: long non-coding RNA, 760 nt
Organism: Oxyura jamaicensis (ruddy duck)
Lineage: Eukaryota; Metazoa; Chordata; Aves; Anseriformes; Anatidae
Exons: 2
Source: RefSeq, a predicted model, not a curated record
UACAAAUGAAAUGCCCCAGUGAGAUUCAUUGUGAGUUACAGACUGCUGUUUUGUUAUGUUUUUCUAAAUUGGCUUUAUCUGAAGCUCACUUCUAUGCUAAACUGAGGAAAAGUAUGGAGGACAAAGAAAAUUCCUCCGUUUCAGAUAGAGUCAGUUCAAAAGUUGAGCACUGCUCUGCAUAAGAGAAUUGUGGUUGAAUAAUGAAAUUUUAAAACAACACAGAGACGUACACUGCCGCUUACUUCCCCCUUGGUAAAACUAACAUGCAAGCGCAGAAGUAAACGUAAUCUGUGAUGAGAAUUUCUUCUGGCUUUCAAAACAUCAGCAAGGGGAUACUCAGGCUGUACAUUUGGGGCCUCUGCUGAUGCAUAACCUUCUCAAAAUUUAUUUGUGUGGUUGCUGCCAACAGGCCUCUGAAAAGCACCAAUGUUUUUGAAUUUCUGUUGGGGUCAUCUUACUCAGCGGGGAAGCCAUGACUUGGUGGAUGUAUCAGCUAUCCCACGGCUACGUAUGAUACGUUUCCUUUUCCUUUUGUGUGUGGGCAGCCAAUGUGAACUCAAUCUGUUACAAAACCAGACAUUAAGUUUUUCUUUUUUUUUUUUUUUUUCUUUCCUGGGAAACAGGUUUUACUCAUCUCAUAGUUGCCCAUACUGGUGGGAUUAGGUGGCCAUUGUGUUUGAUGGUUGGAUGGAUGGAUGGAAGGGAAAGAUGUCUGCUUAGGGUAAGACUGGCUGCGUCCAUUCCUUAGGCCUUUGAUUUG